RNAcentral lists this long non-coding RNA (2609 nucleotides) under Homo sapiens (human). RNAcentral's name for it is "HSALNT0229338". The record is from RNAcentral. Lineage: Eukaryota; Metazoa; Chordata; Mammalia; Primates; Hominidae.
GCCGCUACCUGUGCGCCUGCCAAUCAAGCUGCUCCUGCGGCUCCCGUAGCUGCUGCUGCUGCUGCUUGAACCUGGCCCCAGGUCCGGCGAGGAUGGAGUUUCACUCUCGUUGCCCAGGCUGGAGUGCAAUAGCACGAUCUCAGCUCACUGCAACCUCUGCCUCCUGGGUUCAAGCGAUUCUCCUGCUUCACCCUCCCAAGUAGCUGGGAUUACAGGUGCGUGCCACCAUGCCUUGCUGAUUUUGUAUAUUUAUUAGAAACAGGCUCUCCCUCUCCCUCUCCCUCCCCACAGUCUCCCUCUCCCCCUCUUUCCACGGUCUCCCUCUGAUGCCGAGCCGAAGCUGGACUGUACUGCUGCCAUCUUGGCUCACUGCAACCUCCCUGCCUCAUUCUCCUGUCUCAGCCUGCCGAGUGCCUGUGAUUGCAGGCGCGCGCCGCCACGCCUGACUGGUUUUCGUAUUUUUUUGGUGGAGACGGGGUUUCGCUGUGUUGGCCGGGCCGGUCUCCAGCUCCUAACCGCUAGUGAUCCACCAGCCUCGGCCUCCCGAGGUGCUGGGAUUGCAGACGGAGUCUCGUUCACUCAGUGCUCAAUGGUGCCCAGGCUGGAGUGCAGUGCCGUGAUCUCGGCUCGCUACAACCUCCACCUCCCAACCGCCUGCCUUGGCCUCCCAAAGUGCCGAGAUUGCAGCCUCUGCCCGGCCGCCACCCCGUCUGGGAAGUGAGGAGCGUCUCUGCCUGGCCACCCAUCGUCUGGGAUGUGAGGAGCCCCUCUGCCUGGCUGCCCAGUCUGGAAAGUGAGGAGCGUCUCUGCCCGGCCGCCAUCCCAUCUGGGAGGUGAGGAGCGUCUCUGCCAGGCCGCCCAUCGUCUGAGAUGUGGGGAGUGCCUCUGCCCGGCCGCGACCCCGUCUGGGAGGUGAGGAGCGUCUCUGCCCGGCCGCCCCGUCUGAGAAGUGAGGAGACCCUCUGCCUGGCGACCGCGCCGUCUGAGAAGUGAGGAGCCCCUCCGCCCGGCAGCCACCCUGUCCGGGAGGGAGGUGGGGGUAAGCCCCCUCCAGGCCAGCCGCCCCGUCCGGGAGGGAGGUGGGGGGCAGCCCUCACGCAGCCGCCACCCCGUCCGGGAGGUGGGCACCUCUGCCCGGCCGCCCCAUCUGGGAGGUGAGGAGCCCCUCUGCCCGGCCGCCACCCCGUCUGGGAGGUGUACCCAACAGCUCAUUGAGAAUGGGCCAUGAUGACGAUGGCGGUUUUGUCAAAUAGAAAAGGGAGAAAUGUGGGGAAAAGAGAGAGAGAUCAGAUUGUUACUGUGCGUGUGUAGAAAGAAGUAGACAUAGGAGACUCCAUUUUGUUCUGUACUAAGAAAAAUUCUUCUGCCUUGGGAUGCUGUUAAUCUAUAACCUUACCCCCAACCCCGUGCUCUCUGAAACAUAUGCUGUGUCCACUCAGGGUUAAAUGGAUUAAGGGCGGUGCAAGAUGUGCUUUGUUAAACAGAUGCUUGAAGGCAGCAUGCUCGUUAAGAGUCAUCACCACUCCCUAAUCUCAAGUACCCAGGGAUACAAACGCUGCGGAAGGCCGCAGGGCCCUCUGCCUAGGAAAACCAGAGACCCUUGUUCACGUUUAUCUGCUGACCUUCCCUCCACUAUUGUCCUAUGACCCUGCCAAAUCCCCCUCUCCGAUAAACACCCAAGAAUGAUCAAUAAAUACUAAAAAAAAAAAAAAAAAAAAAAAAUUUUUGUGCCCUGCUACUGGCCUCAAGUGAUCGUCCUGCCUCGGCCUCCCACAGUGCUCGGAUUUCAGGUGUGAGCCACUGCGCCCAGCCCCAGCUGUGAAUUUGUUUAUAAAAACCCAGAGCAUUGAAAGUUUUAAGAGACGGCCCGGGUAAGUCUUCAGUGCAUCUCCUGCACAUGCUCCACACCUGCGUUACACUAAUCAUGCCACUAUCUCACUUCUCCAACCCUUUGAGCUUGCACUUUUUCCCUCUGCCUACAUCAGUGCUUCUCAAAUGUGGUAAAGGAUCAUUUAAAAAAAAUUUCCAAUCUAGACCAGGCAUGGUGAUGCAUACCUGUAGUCCCAGUUACUUAGAAGGCUGAGGUGGGAGGAUUGCUUGAGUCCAGGAGUUCAAGACCAGCCUGGGCAACACAGCAAGAUCCCAUGUCUUAAAAAAAAAAACCAAUCUACUGUGGACCCAUACUUAUGUAAAACACAAUAAGGCUGGGCGCGGUGGCUCACGCCUGUAAUCCCAGCACUUUGGGAGGUGGAGGCGGGUGGAUCACGAGGUCAGGAGAUGGAGACCAUCCUGGCUAACAUGGCAAAACCCCGUCUCUACUAAAAAAAAAAAAAAAAAUACAAAAAUUUAGCCAGGCGUGGUGUUGGGCGCCUGUAGUCCCAGCUACUUGGGAGGCUGAGGCAGGAGAACGGUGUGAACCCGGGAGGCGGAGCUUGCAGUGAGCUGAGCUCGCGCCACUGCACUCCAGCCUGGGCGACAGAGUGAGACUCUGUCUCAAAAACAAACAAACAAAAAACAAGCAAACAAAAAACACAAUAAACUUAAAUGAUCAGAAAAUAACCACAUGCUUAGAUAUCAGAGCAAAGGCCCAGUCUCUCAAUGCACCCUCU